UGCAGUCGAACGCACGAAGUUGAAGAGCUUGCUCUUUAACCAAGUGAGUGGCGGACGGGUGAGUAACACGUGGGUAACCUGCCCAUUAGAGGGGGAUAACAUUCGGAAACGGAUGCUAAUACCGCAUAGUUUCAGGAAUCGCAUGAUUCUUGAAGGAAAGGUGGCUUCGGCUACCACUAAUGGAUGGACCCGCGGCGUAUUAGCUAGUUGGUGAGGUAAUGGCUCACCAAGGCAAUGAUACGUAGCCGACCUGAGAGGGUGAUCGGCCACACUGGGACUGAGACACGGCCCAGACUCCUACGGGAGGCAGCAGUAGGGAAUCUUCCGCAAUGGACGAAAGUCUGACGGAGCAACGCCGCGUGAGUGAAGAAGGUUUUCGGAUCGUAAAACUCUGUUGUUAAAGAAGAACAAGGAUGAGAGUAACUGCUCAUCCCCUGACGGUAUUUAACCAGAAAGCCACGGCUAACUACGUGCCAGCAGCCGCGGUAAUACGUAGGUGGCAAGCGUUGUCCGGAUUUAUUGGGCGUAAAGCGAGCGCAGGCGGUUCUUUAAGUCUGAUGUGAAAGCCCCCGGCUCAACCGGGGAGGGUCAUUGGAAACUGGAGAACUUGAGUGCAGAAGAGGAGAGUGGAAUUCCACGUGUAGCGGUGAAAUGCGUAGAUAUGUGGAGGAACACCAGUGGCGAAGGCGACUCUCUGGUCUGUAACUGACGCUGAGGCUCGAAAGCGUGGGGAGCAAACAGGAUUAGUCCCCG
RNAcentral lists this ribosomal RNA (753 nucleotides) under Carnobacterium maltaromaticum. RNAcentral describes it as "bacterial SSU rRNA". It matches the Rfam family "Bacterial small subunit ribosomal RNA", at positions 56 to 789 of the family's 1533-position model. The record is from RNAcentral. Lineage: Bacteria; Bacillati; Bacillota; Bacilli; Lactobacillales; Carnobacteriaceae.